GCGCCCGUAGCUCAAUUGGAUCAGAGCGCCAGACUACGGAUCUGUAGGUUGGGGGUUCGAGUCCCUCCGGGCGCACCA
RNAcentral lists this transfer RNA (78 nucleotides) under Bacillota bacterium. RNAcentral's name for it is "tRNA-Arg". It matches the Rfam family "tRNA". Rfam says of the family: Transfer RNA (tRNA) molecules are approximately 80 nucleotides in length. Their secondary structure includes four short double-helical elements and three loops (D, anti-codon, and T loops). Further hydrogen bonds mediate the characteristic L-shaped molecular structure. tRNAs have two regions of fundamental functional importance: the anti-codon, which is responsible for specific mRNA codon recognition, and the 3' end, to which the tRNAs corresponding amino acid is attached (by aminoacyl-tRNA synthetases). tRNAs cope with the degeneracy of the genetic code in two manners: having more than one tRNA (with a specific anti-codon) for a particular amino acid; and 'wobble' base-pairing, i.e. permitting non-standard base-pairing at the 3rd anti-codon position. The record is from RNAcentral. Lineage: Bacteria; Bacillati; Bacillota.